Molecule: ribosomal RNA, 660 nt
Filed under: uncultured bacterium
Lineage: Bacteria
Description: bacterial SSU rRNA
Rfam family: Bacterial small subunit ribosomal RNA
Source: RNAcentral
ACAUGUCCGCAUGAUUAAAGGUAUUUUCCGGUAGACGAUGGGGAUGCGUUCCAUUAGAUAGUAGGCGGGGUAACGGCCCACCUAGUCAACGAUGGAUAGGGGUUCUGAGAGGAAGGUCCCCCACAUUGGAACUGAGACACGGUCCAAACUCCUACGGGAGGCAGCAGUGAGGAAUAUUGGUCAAUGGGCGAUGGCCUGAACCAGCCAAGUAGCGUGAAGGAUGACUGCCCUAUGGGUUGUAAACUUCUUUUAUAAAGGAAUAAAGUCGGGUAUGCAUACCCGUUUGCAUGUACUUUAUGAAUAAAGAUCGGCUAACUCCGUGCCAGCAGCCGCGGUAAUACGGAGGAUCCGAGCGUUAUCCGGAUUUAUUGGGUUUAAAGGGAGCGUAGAUGGAUGUUUAAGUCAGUUGUGAAAGUUUGCGGCUCAACCGUAAAAUUGCAGUUGAUACUGGAUGUCUUGAGUGCAGUUGAGGCAGGCGGAAUUCGUGGUGUAGCGGUGAAAUGCUUAGAUAUCACGAAGAACUCCGAUUGCGAAGGCAGCCUGCUAAGCUGCAACUGACAUUGAGGCUCGAAAGUGUGGGUAUCAAACAGGAUUAGAUACCCUGGUAGUCCACACGGUAAACGAUGAAUACUCGCUGUUUGCGAUAUACGGCAAGCGGCC